This 223-nucleotide long non-coding RNA is filed under the name Lathyrus oleraceus (garden pea). RNAcentral's name for it is "Pisum sativum (pea) long non-coding RNA (PSAT_LNC007865)". Lineage: Eukaryota; Viridiplantae; Streptophyta; Magnoliopsida; Fabales; Fabaceae. The record is from RNAcentral.
GAGAGUAUACUUCUCCCCCUUUGUCAUAAUCAAAAAGGUAGAAAAAAGAUGCUAGAAAGAUGAACAUGCAAGCACAUAGCUCACAUAGAUUAGACAUGAUUUACUAGAAAAGGAAAAAUAUUUUACUAAUAAAACAUUAAGAGCACAAGAGGAGGAAGCAACAUGGAUAAAAAAAGAACAAAAAUUAAAGCAAGAAACAAGAAGAAAAAAAGCAACAAAAAAC